UCGUGUGCAGGCCAAAAGUAU
This 21-nucleotide non-coding RNA is filed under the name Arabidopsis thaliana (thale cress). The record is from RNAcentral. Lineage: Eukaryota; Viridiplantae; Streptophyta; Magnoliopsida; Brassicales; Brassicaceae.